GAAAGCGUACAAAGACGUGAUAUUAAAGUGCUAGUAAAACGAAGGAAUAUGAAAGAACUCAAGACUCCACUUUCUGAAAGAAAUGAGAAUCAGGGAAGACCUUAUUAAGAUAUUUAUAAAAUACUUCACGAAUACGACGACAUAUAUUGAAUAGGCAUGCAUAACAAGGAGACGGCGAAGAGAACGGAAAUUUUCAGAAUGCCUGUAUUGAUGACAUAAAUUAUGAAGUCUUUUUGCAUCUUUUUUAUUUUUUCAGUCUUUCGACUUUCAAGAGAGAUUAGGACCUCAAAUUCUAGAUGGUUAGCAGCAGAAGCGUUAACACAUUUCUUCAUGUUUACAACAAACAAAUUAAAGGAGGAUGACUUCGAUAUUCUUUUUCAUGAUCAUAUCAAGCGAUAUGUGGAGGAAAAGGAGGCUCAAUAUCAAUAAAUUGAAGUAAGUUCCAAUUGUGCCUAAUCAUUUGCAAAGAUUAUGUGAACCAGUGCCUGCAUAGAAUCCUCAGAAUUCACUGGCCAGAGAAAAUACGCAACACUGACCUGUGGCAGAGAACAAAACAGCAGCCUAUGGAGGAAGAAAUCCUGCGGAGACGAUGGGGUGUGCUAGGGCACACCCUAUGGAAGCCAGCAUCCAACGUCACGAGACAGUCGCUGACAUGGAACCCUCAGGGAAAGAGAAAGCGAGGAAGGCCGAGAAACACCUGGAGAUGGGACCUCGCCGCCGACACCAAGCUCACCGGACUCGGAUGGGGGCAACUGGUGACAGUAGCCCAGGACAGGAGGCGUUGGAGGACUGUCGUUGAUAGCCUAUGCACCAGGAGGGGCGAAGGGCCUAACUAACUGACUAAAGAUGUCAGACACUACACUUACUGGGGUCCCUGGGAUCCCAUUGACGAAAAUUGAAGGGGUCCUCCGAACUUUUAAUGCGUACUGUACGCAAUAUUUUGCGUAAGCAGAAACCCUGGUUUGUUUGUGGCAGUUGUUUGAUGUUCGCGCCACUUAGCCAAGUUGGAUAAGGCAUUAUAUAUGGGACGAUGGGGGGAAUUUUUUUCUUUAUCAUUUUAUAAUUUAAAAAAAGUUUAUAGCUAGAGCGAGAAAAUGAUUUUUUUUAAAAAACAGACAAAAGGGAGUGAGUGACGGAAGUUUUCAGAAUGCCUGUAUGGAUGACAUAAAUUAUUAAGUCUUUUUGCAUCUUUUUUUUUCAGCAUAUCGAAUUAGUACAGAAUUCAGGACCACCAGUAGCAGAGUGUUUGCGUAUGAAUCACUUAAUAGUUAUUUUAAAUACAUGACAAGUGAGCUGUCGGACCAGGACUUCAUGUCCCUUUACUUCGAACUGCAUGACCACAUUAGAAGAUUUGUGGAGAGCAGAACGCCUCCUCAAGUACUUUUGAUCCAGUGCGAGCAAAGGCAAAACGAGAAGCGUGAGUACGCUGUCAUGCCACAUUUUAGUCCUGGUCAUCUUCAGCACAGUCCGAAAAAAAGUCUUGCACUGACAAGAGUUUUUGAUAAUGCAACUUGUGCAUCUUCCAGCUCCCCUACAUUUCAUCACAACUAAGGACUGCAAUACAAGAACCUAAAAAGGCUCGUUUGGUGCCUAGCUCACGUGGUUCUCCUGAGCCCAGCAUGUGGCAUGAUUAUGCAGAAAAGGAUUGUUUUUCUUCCCACAGUGCCUCUGUUACUGGCAUAAUUCUUAAGGUUUUCUUUUUUGUUGAUAAAUAUGUUGGAACUCAA
Pomacea canaliculata is the source of this 1727-nucleotide RNA transcript. RefSeq lists it as uncharacterized. NCBI's taxonomy places the organism in Eukaryota, Metazoa, Mollusca, Gastropoda, Architaenioglossa, Ampullariidae. The transcript is spliced from 3 exons. The record is from RefSeq and is a predicted model, not a curated record.